CUCAGCCUCGGGAGGCAGCAGUAGGGAAUCUUCCACAAUGGACGAAAGUCUGAUGGAGCAACGCCGCGUGAGUGAAGAAGGGUUUCGGCUCGUAAAGCUCUGUUGGUAGUGAAGAAAGAUAGAGGUAGUAACUGGCCUUUAUUUGACGGUAAUUACUUAGAAAGUCACGGCUAACUACGUGCCAGCAGCCGCGGUAAUACGUAGGUGGCAAGCGUUGUCCGGAUUUAUUUGGCGUAAA
RNAcentral lists this ribosomal RNA (238 nucleotides) under uncultured bacterium. Its description in RNAcentral is "partial 16S ribosomal RNA". It matches the Rfam family "Bacterial small subunit ribosomal RNA", at positions 330 to 564 of the family's 1533-position model. The record is from RNAcentral.